GACGAACGCUGGCGGCGUGCUUAACACAUGCAAGUCGAACGGAAAGGCCCUGCUUGCAGGGUACUCGAGUUGCGAACGGGUGAGUAACACGUGGGUGAUCUGCCCUGCACUUCGGGAUAAGCCUGGGAAACUGGGUCUAAUACCGGCUAGGAGCCAUUUUUAGUGUGAUGGUUGGAAAGUUUUUUCGGUGUAGGAUGAGCUCGCGGCCUAUCAGCUUGUUGGUGGGGUAAUGGCCUACCAAGGCGGCGACGGGUAGCCGGCCUGAGAGGGUGGACGGCCACAUUGGGACUGAGAUACGGCCCAGACUCCUACGGGAGGCAGCAGUGGGGAAUAUUGCACAAUGGGCGCAAGCCUGAUGCAGCGACGCCGCGUGGGGGAUGACGGCCUUCGGGUUGUAAACUCCUUUCGCUAGGGACGAAGCUUUUUGUGACGGUACCUAGAUAAGAAGCACCGGCUAACUACGU
RNAcentral lists this ribosomal RNA (464 nucleotides) under uncultured bacterium. Its description in RNAcentral is "partial 16S ribosomal RNA". It matches the Rfam family "Bacterial small subunit ribosomal RNA", at positions 28 to 506 of the family's 1533-position model. The record is from RNAcentral.